Molecule: ribosomal RNA, 6212 nt
Filed under: Triticum aestivum (bread wheat)
Lineage: Eukaryota; Viridiplantae; Streptophyta; Magnoliopsida; Poales; Poaceae
Description: partial small subunit ribosomal RNA
Source: RNAcentral
AUCCACUCCCCACCCUCCCCCCACACAGCCGCCGCCUCUUCCCUUCCCUCCUCAUCUCGAGCCCUUCCCAGCCGACGGAGGAGCCCCCAUCCCAAUCCCGCGUCGGAGUUCAGAGGCAGGGGAGGUGUGGAUCGAUGAUGGUGUAGCAAAGAAAAGGAUGGGAGAUCGAGGAGGGAGCGAGCCGUUGCAGAGGAGAUGGGAGAAGGGGGUGCGCGGUGGUGAGGCAUCGGCACCGGAGAAGCAGAUCAGCGGUGCGCGGUGAAGCGGGAUAGGUGACGCCGGCCGGCGCUUGCGGGUACGUCCUGCGGGAUGAGACCGCAGCUCCAGUCUUCUCCCCGCGGUGGUCCACGGCGCUAUCACUGUCGUCCUCAGCAGGAGGAGCGCGGGACGCAGAGGCGGCCGGCUCCGUCCUGCUCUUGUGCCAUCGUACCUCUGCCUUUCUCGUCUGCCGCGCCUCAGGCUAGCAGGUGGACGGCGUGGAGAGCUCUCGUCACAAGACACAGGAGGAUGGCUCUCGCCGACGCCGCGCACUGCUCCUCUCGCCUCUGUCGCGCUCUGCUCCGGCUCAUCCUCGCCGCGCUCUGCUCUGGCUUGUCGUCACCGCGCUCUGCUCCGGCUUGCCACCGAAAAGGUUGUGCUUUCGGUCCAAGGAGCCGAUGGGUCGCCGGAUCCGUCGGCCACCCCAUGGACUUCGCCUGGAACGCGGGCUGGGAGGUGGCGCCGCCAGCCUGCAACGCCAACCCCGACCCCGACCAACCCGGCGCCGCAGAAGGUGGAGGCGGAGUCCAUGAUGCUUGUCUCCGGGCCGCGCGUCGCCGUCUCCGGGCUGAGGCGAGCCGACGGCCGCGCGGGUCGUGCUCUCCGCCAUGUCAAGUUAUCGUCCUUCGCUGGUCUUGCCGUGGAUUAGGCUGUUGCGGUCCAUGAGUUGACAAGUGGAUUCAUAAAGUCGGAUUGAUAAGAAUCUGGAUAGGAAUCCUUGAGUUGGCUCGGAUUGAUAAGCACUAGGAAUGGUGCAGCCCCCAAAUCCUUGAGUUGGUUCAGAGUUAGCCUUGGCUGCUCCCCUGCUUGAAAAUGGCCCUGAUUUAGGUUUAGAGUUAACCUUUCUUAGGCUAUUUCACACGCUAUGACUGAAGUUUUUGUUCCCUGCUAAAAAGCCUUCAUUUUUGUUCCCUCCGAUCAGGUUCAUUUUUGUGUACUGCUCCCUGCGAAGAAACCUUCAUCUUAUACUGCUCCCUGUUCUUAUUACCCUUUCAGUGCCUACUCUCAUGAAGAUGAAUGUGUCAUGUUCGUCAAUGCCGGUGGGUAUAUCUGAAAUAACUGCAAAGGAAGCAGAAGACAAUGUGCUCCCGAGAGAGAUGGUAAGCAGUGCCAUCAAUCUUGACAAUUAAUUUGCUAGAAUUAUCGCAAGACUUGUCAAAACUGAAAAUUUUGACUGCAUCGGGUAAGAUUGACUGAAGAAAGCAACUAAAACUUCAGAGAAUAUAUUGUUGUUUAUAUAAACUGAAUACUGGUGUACUGUCAAUAUUCAGUAGCAGAAAUUAAGCUUCUGAGUAUAUUGUACUGUCAAUAUUCAGAAGUAGAAAUUCAGUGGUGUACCACUAAAACUGUGAUGGUUCCUCUUUGCUGUGCAAUGUUAACAUCAGAUUAUCCAAUGUUCCAUAUUUUAGCACAAUAUUCAAUACUCUUAUGUCCCGCACAAUGCACCGCACAAGGUCCCUGCUCCCUUCCCUGCUGCAGGUAGCACCCUCCCUUUUGUUCAGUUUCAGUAUGCAAGCGAACAUGUGCAGUUCAUGUGCACUGAUUCUCAAAACUGAAGCAUUUACAUGGCCAUGUUGGUUUCUUCAGUGAGGAGACGAGAGAGGAGAUUGCUGGAUCUGGAAAUGGAGGUCAGUACCACCUACAGGACAAGAGCGCCGCUCCUCUCCGACUCUUCAAGUCUCUCAUGCUCUGCUCUUUGCUCUGGCUGAAUUAGAAGGUUAGGUGUGACAAAAAAAACUGAAACUUUAUCUCCUAAUAUCCCUCCAUUUUUGCAAAAUCAAAUUUGUGUCAGCUAUGUGACCAAUGAUCAUACACUUGUUUCGAAUAAUCAUACGCUUAUCAAUUUCCACGGACAGGUUAAUGGUGUAUACCUGCUUCUGAGCUGCCAUGCAGAGACUCUGUUAUCUCUUGAAUUUAUCCACUGCCAACUUUAUCCUGCAGUCAUGGAUAAAGUUUGCAUUAGUCUUUGCCAGCCAGGUUCCCAAAACUACAAGUUCCAGUCCUUUUAUUCUGCCUUGGUCCUAAUGUUAAUUUUUCUGCCAUAUGUUAAAUUUUUUGUCAUAUGUAGGCCAACAGAUAACUUGUGUAUGUUCAUCUAGCUGCAAAAGAAACUUAUGACUUGUGCCGUCAGUAAAAAAAAUAGUAGAUAGUUGAAAGGACCAGGCACAGCCAUUUGCUUGCUGUGUUAUACUCUCAAUGAAUCUUAAUUAUUUCUAAUUUCAACAAAUGACAAGACUAAUCUGUCAUUCACAAUGUUUUUGCAGCUAGCAUUAAAAGCUGAUGUGUUUUAUAACAGAGUGACAAAUAUGACUAUUUGGGGUAACCAUUCAACAACUCAGGUUCCUAAUUUCUUGAAUGCCAAAAUUAAUGGGAGGCCAGUAAAAGAAGUCAUCAAAGAUACAAAGUGGCUAGAAGAGGAUUUUCCUAUAACUGUUCAAAAGGUACAUGGAGAAGGUGGUGGUGCCGCCGAGGCUGUUGCUCCCGGUGUUAGAGAGGGCGUUGCUGACCGAUGCCGCCGGCUUGCCCGAGGUGGCCUGCACGUCUUCAUGACCAGCCAUCUCCCCAGGUGAAUCCCUUCCCUUUAGGAAAAUCUAUCUAGCUAAUUUGUUUGUUAGGAUUGCAGAACGUGAAUCUUCCUUAGUCAUCACCAAAUUGACAUGCUCUGACUAACUGAAAAACAACAAAGUAUUGAAUGGUGCUACUCGAAUGGAGUAUGAAAUGAUUUAGUAAUCACUUGUAUGCAAAAAGAGGUGCACAAUUUGGUGUUGUGAGAAUUGAACUGGAACGGAAUUUUCAUGCCUAUGUUUUUUUCCAUGUCGACCUAUCUCCAGUCGUAUGCAGAUCCACAGUGGACCAAGCGGAAUUGGCACAUUUGCUAUACAGAUUGCAAAGCGCCUUGGAAUCAAGGUUUUUGUCACUGCAGGUUUAUUGGUUCAGAUAGAUACAGUAUAUAUGGUACAAAGUUGUUUUCUGGAAGCAACUCUGUUAUGCCGCUCUAGAAAGCCAAAGAGAAACUAACCGCUUGCGACGUUUAAGGUGUGGAUAUAUGCAGAAACUACAAAACCUUUGUAGCACGUAUCGAAGAAGAAACUAAUGGAAAUGGUAUUAUCCUGCCAUCCUCUUGUGACGCUUGAUGCCCUGAUGCAAAAGUAAAAUAAAAUUAUUUGGCUUUACCAAGUUAUACCCGUCAAUUUCAUAUACAUUCUAACUGUAAUAUGUGGAAUAUCUCUACAAGACCUUGAUGUCAUUCUGGACAACGUAGGCAGAUCUUAUCUCCAAGGCACUCUGGAUAGCUUAGCAGUUGAUGGUAGACUUUUCAUCGUUGGUUUCAUGUGAGGCGCUGUAAUUGAAGUGAACCUGCAGGCGAUGCUUGCCUGAAGACCGACUGUACAAGCAUCUCGCACAAUGUAUUCAGAGAGAUGCUGCCACUGGUGAUACAUCUGUGCGAAGCCAGAUCCAGAAUGAGUCGACAGAGUUGGGAGUAGCGAUACAACAUCUGGGGGCUAUGCUUUUUGAGCUUGGACGCUUAGAAUGGGGCCAUCUCCUGUAUACAUUUUUCUACUAUGUCACUAUCACACAAGUGAUUCACAAGGUUUAAGUAUUCUUAUAGCUUUUUUAUUUUGUAGGCUAAUGUUUUUGUAAAUGCUGGGCAUGCUGCUUAUACAAACCCCACUGGACCAAGUCCAAUCAUGGUUCAGGCUACCUGUAUAGCUUUGCUUUCCUAUCAUGAACUGCUGACAACUUUGUUUUGGGCUAUCAUGCUAGCAUGCACUGUAACAUAUAUCACUAUGUAUUAACAUGCUACCUAAGUAUCUAUUUCUUUAUACAUUAAGGAUCUUAUUAUCAGUCCUUAAACAAAUUUUGCGUGCAUGAUUUGAAUGCUUGGUUUGCUGUCGCCCUUUGCAACGGGUGGUUAGCUGCUUUUUUAUGUGUGAGAAUGUUAGGAAUGUUUCUAUAUGUGCCCAGAUUUAUUUGGUGUGCCUGCUAUGUUUCACUUUCACUGCUCUUUGUUGAAUAAAUUGAGAAAUUCUUGAUUCUUUUUAUGUUAUUUCUUUACAUGAAGGAUCCAGAUUAAAAUCUAAUGUGUUAUUCUUGCUGGCUUAGUUUAAACAAAUGCAUUUUAGAUCACCUACUUCUCAGUUCAUGAUUUUUGAUUCGGUGUGUUGCAACUGAUUACCGGAACACACUCACCCAAAGUGUCGAUCUACAUCCAUACAUAAUUUACUAAAAGAAUUUUUUUGAGUUGUUUCUGCAUAUGCCUCUUGGUAUUUACUAGGUCACCUUCGAGAUUCGUUAACUAACAUACAUAUCCUAUCUACGCUUUUCACAUCCAUAUAAUGAUGCCAUGUUUUUCCUUUUGAGUAGACGAUUCUUUAUUUAUUAACCUAUACACCAAUAUGUUGUUUCCAUUGAUCUCAUAGUACUUUUUGUGUGUUUCUUUAUCUUGGGCUGAAAACUUAUUGUCGGUUCAAGCUAUUUUUAAGUCAUGUAUACUAUGGAAGUUGUGUAAAAGAACGUUUACUGAAAUGUUAUGUAAAACCUAUGGCUCAAAGCUAAGCUUCGGUAAAUUGGAAUAUUUAUAGAUAUAUUUGGGAGUUUCAUUAGAUUAAUCUGGAAUUUCAAACUAAUCCAUUUAAUUAUUUGAGAGCACCAGCAACACAAUUUUUGAAAAAAAAAACAUGCCCACCAAACGAAGGGCAUGGCUAUGUUGUCCAUUUAUGCAAAUCUCUAGGAAGGAGAAACCCUCAAGAACUGCUAGGAAGGAGAAAGCCUUCCACGUCUCCGAGCCUGACUAUGCCUCCCUCGCGGCGAGGAUUGCUGUGUCCAACCUGCCGCCAAGUGGAAAUAGUCUGUGUGGCGCUCGUAAAUAGAGAGCAUUCUGGUAGAAAGGUACAGGAAAGAAUAGGGAAACUUCUGUCAUUUUCUUUGGUCUCUGAAAAAUAAAUGGUGAUAUGGGCUGAUACAUUGCUAAAUUACAUGAUACAAAGGCACUUCUCUUUUUUGAUUUUUGGUUUACUUCGUUGUGCUACAAUGGCUCUCUUAGGAAUGUCCUUCCAUGCUUUGAUGUGCACAAUCCAGAAAGUGCAUGCAUCCAGAAACCAAAUAGGAUUUUUUAUGUGUUAUCUUCUCAUAAAUCUUGUGCUCGUCCAAUAAGAAUAAGGUUUGGUGGUAUUGCUUUUGUCUGUCACCCGGUAGAUUUCAGACUUCAAGCUAGCUGCAGUUAUUUCAAGUUAUAUGUGCAAAUCCUUGGUGUGACAUGAUUGGUAACUGACCAUGAAUACGUUGCAAUCUGAUAUGUCUAAUUCUUGAUUUAUGUGGUACCAUGGUCUAAAAAUUGGUCCUAAAGAUACAUGAUGUUUUUGUACAAAGUUGAGACAAUUAUUUUUGAACGGAGGGAGUAUUAGAUUAUUUUGUUCCUUUUUAAUUUGGUUCUAAAGAUAUAGUUUCUGAGUGAUCAUUUUGCAUCAGCCAAGCUUGCCGUUGUUACAAAUAAUUGUUCUGUUGUCCUCAAUUCACUUUCUCGGUUUUUUAAUGCUACAAGCGUUAUUGUUCCAGUUUUUUUUAGUUAUUGAUCAUGCCAUUUUUCUUUCUGCCUUUGUAGCUGAAAGAUUAGUGAGACUGACUAAAUUCUGAACAUGUUCCAUGUGAGAGAAAUACAUGUUGAUUUCAUCUUGAAAUAAUCACAGCUGAGGGACGAGGUUCGUAACUGAGGGUCAUGUGCAGAGCUGGAGGAAGAAGUUGCGAGGCUUGGAACUCUCCUUGUGAAGGGCUCAGGGACAGCAGUGAGGACUAUGCCCUUUAGUUGUGAUUGUGAUACUCCUGAUGUGCAAGUAAACACUCCUGUGAUACUCCUUAUGCUACAAUGUUGAUUGUUAGUACAGAGGUGGUGACAUUAUUUGGUUCUUUGGUAUUGAUUUCAUGAUUUGUGGUUAAUACAUGACGUAAUACAAUCC